Molecule: long non-coding RNA, 959 nt
Filed under: Homo sapiens (human)
Lineage: Eukaryota; Metazoa; Chordata; Mammalia; Primates; Hominidae
Description: HSALNT0000314
Source: RNAcentral
AAUAAGACGCCGAGUUAUAAUCAGGACCUAAGGCCGUGCCAGGCCGGGGUUAAGUCACACACCCUUACAGUUAAAGAAUAAGGCUUGGGUUUUCUUUUCCUCUAGCAGUUAAGCAGGCACUGGCCUGAGACAAGCGGUAUGGAAACAGUGAUGGCUCGCUGCCAGGCACUAACUGACCCCCCAUUUCACGGCCAUAACUACAGCGUCACUUUCCAUAACUUCCUCCUGAUAAGACACCACUGGCCACGGACUGGUUCUGCUGGUCUAUGGAGGAUGUGACUGGAGUGACUCCCGGGCCGCGCCUCACCUUUGGCCAUAUAGGGCCUAAUUGUCUUACAUGUAAAUGUGAAAUCUCACCUCUCAGUGAACAUGGGUCCUGCGUUACAUGCAUGUUUAUCUAGUACACAUGCAUUAAGACAGGAGAGAGGAGCGCUUGAGCCCAGGAGUUCAAGACCAGCCUGCGAAACACAGCAAGACACCCUUUUUACCAAAAAAUAAAAAUAAAAUUAGCCAGAUAUGGUGGCAGGCAUGUAGUCCUAGCUACUUGGGAGGCUGAGGCGGGAGAGUUGCUUGAGCCCAGGAGUUCAAGAUGGCGGUGAGCUAUGAUUGCACCACUGCACUCCAGCCUGGGCAACAGAGCAAACCCAUCUCUAAAAGAAAGAAAGAAAUUUUAAAAAGGAGGAAAGGAAAGAAAGGAGAAAAGAGGAAAGGAAAAAGGAAAGGAAACUGUUCCCAUUAAACACUAACUCCCCAUUCCUCCCUGCCCCCCAGCCCCUGGCAACCACCGUUGUCUUUUCUGUCUCUAUGAAUUCGACAACCCUGGGAACCUCAUGAGUAGAAUCAUACAGUAUUUGUCCUGUUGUGAUGAGCUGCUUUCACUUAGCAUAGUGUUUUCAAGGUUCAUUCCUGUUGUAGCAUGCGUCCAAAAUUUCUUUUCAGGACUGUAGAAUAUUCCACGG